GAAAAAGGCUUAACUAAAUUUUAAAGUUGUAUUACAAAUAAGUGACUUUGCUAUGCUUGCAUUUUGCUUUGCAUGCCAUUUUGCAUUUGUUUUUGUGCAGUGCCUCUUAUUCAGUUUUUUUUUGUGCAUCUUCCUGUUGAUUGCCAGGUAGAGAGCUCGACUGUAACACCUGGAUGUUGCUCUCUUAACAUCGUCCUUGUAUUUGAAGAAUCCACAGAUUUGUUAGUAAGGUACUACAUAAGCAGGCAGAUAAGCACAAUAACUGGAUUUUACAUGUAAGUAUAGAGCUGUGCUUGCAGUAUGAAAUGAUGAAGAACAAAUGCACCUUUGGCGUUAUUCUUGGGGUAAGUAAGGCUAUAGAUGGUAGAUUAAGCUAGAGGAUUCAGUAGAAGUUUAAGUAUUUGUGUAUGAUAGAAUUGGUGGCUGUGGAGGGUUUUAUUACAGGCUUUGAUCUAUAAUAAGAGUCUGAGCCUGGAAACAUAAAAAUGGUCCUUUCCCAUGAACAAAGCUCUGUGUGCAUAUUUGACAGCCAGCAUGACCAAAAAUGUUGGAACUUACCAAUGGGUGUAUCCCAAAAAAGUCUUUUCUGUAAUACAACUGGAAAUGUGCUUUAAAUCAGAAAGGCUGUACAGUUUUGAUUUGUUUUUCUUUACAUAGAUAUAGUAAAGAAACUUGUUUUAAAAAAAAAAAAACAAACUUUGUACUAAAGCUAGUUUUAGUGUCUCUUACUAGCUGUUUUGAUUAAUUAUUUUGCCCUGUGCCUCAUUCUUUAUGGCAGAUUGAUUUAGGAGAUAUGUGGUUGGUUCAGUUACUGUUCUCUCUUUUUUUCAGUCCAUUCAUAAGCAACUAAAUUGCGGUGGUAGUUUGCCCCAAAGAUUUUUCUGAAAACACAGACUCCCUCCAGCACCACUGAGCCGGGGAGCUGUAGCCCCAGUCACUUUGAUGUUGUUGCAGACCUCACGUUGCUGCUUUCAUUCUCAUAAUGAAGACAGUGGUGGGAGGGAGGAAAGAGAGACUUGCAGCAUAUCUUCUAAUUAUCUAUUAUAGUUUGUUAUACGAAUUUGGAGGUUUCUAAGAUAGAGGCAAGCUAGGCCUGUAAUAUUUGUAUUUUUUUCUAUAAAAUAUUAGCCUUGAUUCACAAAUAUACCACUAGAAAUUUCAUAAUGGCAUUGUUUGGAGAAUGUGAAAAAGUGUGCUCUCUUAGGAAUGGUUUAGAAAUUUAGGAAAUAAAUUUUUUAGAAGGGAAGAAUCUUUCUAGUGA
RNAcentral lists this long non-coding RNA (1261 nucleotides) under Apteryx rowi (Okarito brown kiwi). RNAcentral describes it as "lncRNA (ENSARWG00000008271.1)". The record is from RNAcentral. Lineage: Eukaryota; Metazoa; Chordata; Aves; Apterygiformes; Apterygidae.